This is a long non-coding RNA of Canis lupus familiaris (dog), 582 nucleotides long. RefSeq lists it as uncharacterized. NCBI's taxonomy places the organism in Eukaryota, Metazoa, Chordata, Mammalia, Carnivora, Canidae. The record is from RefSeq and is a predicted model, not a curated record. The transcript has 3 exons.
AGAAGUUUAUCCAUCAGAGUACUCUGGCUGAAUAAAAAUUGUAGAAGCUUCUCCAGAUUUCAAUUUUUAAAGAACGUUUCCAGAAGGAGAUAAGAUCUUCACUGAAAAGGAACACCAGCACCAUGACGGCCAGCACCAGGCGGACGCUGUUCACCACUGUACCCCCAGUGCACAGAAGUGCCUCAAACAACGUCAACACUUAAUACGUAUCAACUGGGACACUCUGGUUUUCACGUGAGGAAUGUCUUCCUGGGGCUGCGGCCACCUGACGUGGGGCAGGCAGUGAGCCUGCAGUACGCUGGGAAUGUCCUUCCCACGCUCUGUUCCAGCAUGGGCCUUUCUUCCAGUGAGGUCCAAGCCUUUAAACAGGAAGCGAACCUUAAUCUACCUGCUUUUUUACCAUCAGAAGAUAGUGACCAGGCACUUGGAUUUGCCCAGAAGAGUCUUAUUUUAAACGUGCUAUCCUGGUGGCCUGGUCAGUAGGGUUCCCUCUCCACUCUUCCAAUGUCCCGGUGCAGAGACGUUAUAUAGUCACCGAGUUAAGAACCACACAGAUACAUGAAUAAAUGUUCUAUUAGUGAA